ACAAUUGCUGAAUGCUGAGAGUCUUCGCUGGAAGCAGUUGUGCCAGCAAAAAUCUCAUCAGAUUGUUUAGCCCGUAAGAACAGAGGAAGAACCUACCCUUGAGACUGAGUUAGACCUCCAGAAACAGAGCCCCAUUUAACAAUUCCUCAUUUGUCCCUGCCCCAGUGAAUUGAUGAGGCUGUGGGUUGUGCUCCAUACGUGUAGGAGAAGCGAAGGGCCUGGGAACCAGGCACCGGGAAGCUGGCAAUCCAUGCAGGAGGUUCCAAGGAGGCUCCCAGGGGCCAGCUCCCGAGCAUGAGUCACACCACCAAGCCAGACCCAGAUUUGCAUAGCACUUUUCAUUUCACUGUUUGGUCCAAAAUUCACGUAAUCCUCUAAUGAACUCCCAGGAAAACAAGGUAAAAAUUUCCCAAGGGGUUUCUACAAGAUUUCCAGCACUUCCUAAAUUAGCCCUGACCAGUAAAACCACGAGAGAAGACUUCCUGGCAGAGCCUGGCACUUCCAUUUCCAGUCCCAACCGAAAGCAGGAAGCAUUGAGACAAGUAAUAAUUCAACUCUUCAGUUGGCUUCCAAAAUUAUCCACAUUCAGGUCACCUGGCAUUCGCACCAAAGUGAGAUGGCAGGACCAGCAGACAAUGCAGCCUUAUGAUUCAAACAGAAGAAACACUCAUCUUGAUUCCUGUGUGCUGUUUGCCAGGAGAGUUAUCACCACUUGCGGGUGCACAAGCAUUGUGAGCUUGGCCAGAGUUCACAGCUCAGUGGAACCCACCAGGCAACCCUACAGCAUUUCCUGUCGUUCCCUUUGCCUCCCAGCUCUGUCCCUGCUGGGGGCCUACUGCUUAGACAUUCUCCAUCUGUGAUUCCUUUGAGUGCAGCUCAGACAUUUCCACACCUUCUUCUCCACAUACACAGAGUGGAGACAGACCCUUCAGAGGCUGGAGGUGGAGACUUCCAACAGAGCCAGCGCAACUCCAUCCUUUCAAAAAUGGAGAAAUGAGGCCUGAGAAGUGAGGUGAAUUGCUGCCUGGAUGCAUUCAUGCCAUCUUCCUAUUAACGAGAGAUGUUACCAAAAACACUUAGAUCAGUCACCCUUUACACUAAAGCAGCAAAUAAAUUGAACGAUUCUCAAGAGAGUGGGAGAGGUUGAUCUAGAGGCUUUGUCUCCCACGAUGUGGUCUCCAAAAACCACCCUGCAUUACAAUAGCUGUGGUAGAAAGACGAUCAACAGUUCAUACUCACAGGGCUCUUGUAUUGGCACACGUCACCUUAUUUCACUCCCUCAGCACCCUUUGAAAUAAAUACUAUGGGGAUAACAAUUUUCCAUGUGUGGAAACCAACACUCAGGGAAGUGAAGUUACUAGCCCAAAGUCACAGAGAACUUGGCGGAGCUGGGGUUGGGGUCUUUGUCCUUCCAGAACAUGUAUUCCUAACUGUUGUCCAUUCUGCUGACCAUAAUGAAACAUUACCUGAACGUCCGCUAGGAGUUGCACCCAACCACUCAGUCACUGAGUUAGGAGGUGGGGGGGGGGGGGGGGGUGGUUGCUUUUUGCUGAAUUCUCCCAUCAGCAAGUGAUUUCAUGGCCUGAGGGUUGAGGCAAACUGGAAUGUGUGCAAACCGACCGAGGAACUACCCAAAUCUCUCCUUAUCUGUGCAGCAUCUGCUGUGCAAUAACUGUGUCCCCAGCACAAGCCAGAGAGAACUCUCGAUGGCUUGAUCAAGCAGCCCUUGUGCAACGGCCUGCUGCAUCCAGAAAUCUCUUACCCAAGAUCACUUCAGCCUUGCCGUUCUUGAAUGCUGGAAGGCAGCAUAGCCAGCGUGGGGUCCCGUGGUCUCAGCUCGCCGGUUCUAAUUCUCCCUCUGCUGUGCAUUAGUGUGGGCUGGGGUGAGUCGUUUCACCCCAGGCCUCAUUUCCUUCUCUUUAAAAUGUCAUA
Equus caballus (horse) is the source of this 1932-nucleotide long non-coding RNA. The record is from Ensembl. Lineage: Eukaryota; Metazoa; Chordata; Mammalia; Perissodactyla; Equidae.